UAGGGAAUCUUCCGCAAUGGGCGAAAGCUUGACGGAGCAACGCCGCGUGAGUGAUGAAGGUCUUCGGAUCGUAAAACUCUGUUAUUAGGGAAGAACAAAUGUGUAAGUAACUAUGCGCGUCUUGACGGUACCUAAUCAGAAAGCCACGGCUAACUACGUGCCAGCAGCCGCGGUAAUACGUAGGUGGCAAGCGUUAUCCGGAAUUAUUGGGCGUAAAGCGCGCGUAGGCGGUUUUUUAAGUCUGAUGUGAAAGCCCACGGCUCAACCGUGGAGGGUCAUUGGAAACUGGAAAACUGGAGUGCAGAAGAGGAAAGUGGAAUUCCAUGUGUAGCGGUGAAAUGCGCAGAGAUAUGGAGGAACACCAGUGGCGAAGGCGACUUUCUGGUCUGUAACUGACGCUGAUGUGCGAAAGCGUGGGGAUCAAACAGG
RNAcentral lists this ribosomal RNA (429 nucleotides) under Actinomycetes bacterium. RNAcentral's name for it is "Actinobacteria bacterium partial 16S ribosomal RNA". It matches the Rfam family "Bacterial small subunit ribosomal RNA", at positions 355 to 776 of the family's 1533-position model. Lineage: Bacteria; Bacillati; Actinomycetota; Actinomycetes. The record is from RNAcentral.